AGUUCGGUCCCUAUCUGUUGUGGGCGUAGGAAUUUUGAGUGGGGCUGACCUUAGUACGAGAGGACCGGGUUGGACUAGCCUCUAGUGAAUCUGUUGUUCCGCCAGGGGCAUUGCAGAGUAGCUACGCUGGGAAUAGAUAAGCGCUGAAAGCAUCUAAGUGCGAAACUAGCCACGAGAUGAGAAUUCCAUAUAGGACCGUAGCAGACUACUACGUUGAUAGGCUACAGAUGUAAAGCUGGCGACAGCACAGUCGAGUAGUACUAAUCAUCCGAAGCUUUCAA
Molecule: ribosomal RNA, 281 nt
Filed under: Pedobacter soli
Lineage: Bacteria; Pseudomonadati; Bacteroidota; Sphingobacteriia; Sphingobacteriales; Sphingobacteriaceae
Description: 23S rRNA. Bacterial LSU
Rfam family: Bacterial large subunit ribosomal RNA
Source: RNAcentral